RNAcentral lists this ribosomal RNA (253 nucleotides) under uncultured bacterium. RNAcentral describes it as "partial 16S ribosomal RNA". It matches the Rfam family "Bacterial small subunit ribosomal RNA", at positions 524 to 776 of the family's 1533-position model. The record is from RNAcentral.
GACAGAGGUGGCGAGCGUUGUUCGGAAUUACUGGGCUUAAAGGGCGAGUAGGCGGUGGAGCAAGUCUGAGGUGGAAUCCUAUGGCUUAACCAUAGAACUGCCUUAGAAACUGUUUCACUUGAGUCAGUGAGGGGAGGGCGGAAUUCCCGGUGUAGCGGUGAAAUGCGUAGAUAUCGGGAGGAAGGCCGGUGGCGAAGGCGGCCCUCUGGCACUGUAUUGACGUUGAGGCGCGAAAGCGUGGGGAGCAAACAGG